AUGGACACGGUAGCGAAACACUCGCAUCCCUCUCUCACUCUCGACUCACCCACAUCUCUCCCUCACGCAUUGCCGGUGCUGGCGCCCUCUCCCCGCGCGCGUCGCCGGUGCUCGAUCUGCGGAGCUGCUGCUAAUGGUUUCCUGCCCGGAGCUGCUGCUGCCCGGAUCUGGGAGGAGGUGAUGCCGGCCAAGUACCUGCAGGCAUUGGAGAGGAGAGGCGACCGGAGCUGCACCGGCGUCGACUGCGCGUGCCUCAUCCUCACCGGAAACGUGCCCUUCGGCCUCCCCAUCAGCCGCACCCUCGCCAUCUCCCACGCCAAGCAGCGUCAGAGGAUGAGACGACGACGCCACCAGCGCUUGAAUCACUGCCCACCACUCCCACAAGAGGCUUCUUCCCCCAGGUUGCUAUCUUCUCACCGCACCUGCACCUGCUUUUGCUUGCUGGAGUAUAAAUUGGUUGACAUAAAGUUUAAUCUGGUUAGUUGUUUGAUAUAA
RNAcentral lists this ribosomal RNA (495 nucleotides) under Triticum aestivum (bread wheat). Its description in RNAcentral is "partial small subunit ribosomal RNA". Lineage: Eukaryota; Viridiplantae; Streptophyta; Magnoliopsida; Poales; Poaceae. The record is from RNAcentral.